Molecule: ribosomal RNA, 401 nt
Filed under: [Eubacterium] saphenum
Lineage: Bacteria; Bacillati; Bacillota; Clostridia; Peptostreptococcales; Anaerovoracaceae
Description: bacterial SSU rRNA
Rfam family: Bacterial small subunit ribosomal RNA
Source: RNAcentral
GAUGAACGCUGGCGGCGUGCUUAACACAUGCAAGUCGAGCGAGAAACUACAUGCAGACACUUCGGUAGAAGCGAGUAGCGGAAAGCGGCGGACGGGUGAGUAACGCGUAGGCAACCUGCCCUUCACAGAGGUAUAGCCUCGGGAAACCGGGAUUAAAACCACAUAAAAUCAUAGGUUCGCAUGAACCAAAGGUCAAAGAUUUAUCGGUGAAGGAUGGGCCUGCGUCUGAUUAGCUGGUUGGUAGGGUAAAAGCCUACCAAGGCGACGAUCAGUAGCCGACCUGAGAGGGUGAUCGGCCACAUUGGAACUGAGACACGGUCCAAACUCCUACGGGAGGCAGCAGUGGGGGAUAUUGCACAAUGGGGGAAACCCUGAUGCAGCAACGCCGCGUGAGGUAUUUU